RNAcentral lists this ribosomal RNA (344 nucleotides) under Rhus environmental sample. Its description in RNAcentral is "eukaryotic LSU rRNA". The stretch from base 1 to 84 matches the Rfam family "5.8S ribosomal RNA", at positions 73 to 154 of the family's 154-position model. The record is from RNAcentral. Lineage: Eukaryota; Viridiplantae; Streptophyta; Magnoliopsida; Sapindales.
UGCAGAAUCCCGUGAACCAUCGAGUCUUUGAACGCAAGUUGCGCCCUAAGCCACUAGGCCGAGGGCACGUCUGCCUGGGUGUCACGCAUCGUUGCCCCCCCCAAAUCCUAUGAUCUUGCGGCGGUGGGCGGAAAAUGGCCUCCCGUGUGCUUGUGCCCGCGGUUGGCCCAAAUAAGAGUUCUCGGUGACGCUUCCCGCGACAAUCGGUGGUGUUUGAAACAGAACCUAGUGAUCCUGUCGUGCGGUCGUGUUCUACCGUCCACGGACUCGUCGACCCUCGAGAGUGUGCUAAUGCGCGCUCGCAUCGCGACCCCAGGUCAGGCGGGAUUACCCGCUGAGUUUAA